Molecule: ribosomal RNA, 247 nt
Filed under: uncultured bacterium
Lineage: Bacteria
Description: partial 16S ribosomal RNA
Rfam family: Bacterial small subunit ribosomal RNA
Source: RNAcentral
AUACGAGUGGUGCAAGCGUUAUUCGGAAUCAUUGGGCGUACAGGGUGUGUAGGCGGUAUGUUAAGUUUGCUGUUAAAUCCUCCGGCCUAACCGGAGAUAGGCGGCGGAUACUGGCGUACUAGAGGGUGGAAGAGAGAAGUGGAAUUCUCGGUGUAGCGGUAAAAUGCGUAGAUAUCGAGAGGAACACCGAUGGCGAAGGCAGCUUCUUGGUCCAUUCCUGACGCUGAAACACGAAAGCGUGGGGAGC